UACGUAGGGUGCGAGCGUUGUCCGGAAUUAUUGGGCGUAAAGGGCUUGUAGGUGGCGUGUCGCGUCUGUCGUGAAAGGCUCCGGCUUAACUGGAGUAGUGCGGUGGGUACGGGCAUGCUUGAGUGUGGUAGGGGAGAUUGGAAUUCCUGGUGUAGCGGUGGAAUGCGCAGAUAUCAGGAGGAACACCGGUGGCGAAGGCGGAUCUCUGGGCCAUUACUGACGCUGAGGAGCGAAAGCGUGGGGAGCGAACAGGAUUAGAUA
This 261-nucleotide ribosomal RNA is filed under the name uncultured prokaryote. RNAcentral describes it as "partial 16S ribosomal RNA". It matches the Rfam family "Bacterial small subunit ribosomal RNA", at positions 524 to 784 of the family's 1533-position model. The record is from RNAcentral.